RNAcentral lists this ribosomal RNA (792 nucleotides) under Clostridioides difficile. RNAcentral describes it as "partial 23S ribosomal RNA". It matches the Rfam family "Bacterial large subunit ribosomal RNA", at positions 1793 to 2583 of the family's 2925-position model. Lineage: Bacteria; Bacillati; Bacillota; Clostridia; Peptostreptococcales; Peptostreptococcaceae. The record is from RNAcentral.
CAAGCGACUGUUUACCAAAAACAUAGGUUUCUGCUAAGUCGCAAGACGAUGUAUAGGAGCUGACGCCUGCCCGGUGCUGGAAGGUUAAGGGGAUCUGUUAGAGCAAUCGAAGCAGUGAACUUAAGCCCCAGUAAACGGCGGCCGUAACUAUAACGGUCCUAAGGUAGCGAAAUUCCUUGUCGGGUAAGUUCCGACCCGCACGAAAGGCGUAACGAUUUGGGCACUGUCUCAACAACAGACUCGGUGAAAUUGUAAUUCCGGUGAAGAUGCCGGAUACCUGCGACAGGACGGAAAGACCCCAUGGAGCUUUACUGUAGCUUGACAUUGGGUCUUGGUACUACAUGUACAGGAUAGGUGGGAGGCUUUGAAACCAGGACGCCAGUUUUGGCGGAGCCAUCCUUGGGAUACCACCCUUGUAGUACUGGGACUCUAACCAUAGGCCAUGAAUCUGGUCUUGGGACACUGUCAGGUGGGCAGUUUGACUGGGGCGGUCGCCUCCCAAAAGGUAACGGAGGCGCUCAAAGGUUCUCUCAGUACGGUCGGAAAUCGUACGUAGAGUGUAAAGGCAAAAGAGAGCUUGAUUGCAAGACAUACAGGUCGAGCAAGGAUGAAAAUCGGACUUAGUGAUCCGGUGGUUCUGCGUGGAAGGGCCAUCGCUCAACGGAUAAAAGCUACCCUGGGGAUAACAGGCUUAUCUCCCCCAAGAGUCCACAUCGACGGGGAGGUUUGGCACCUCGAUGUCGGCUCAUCACAUCCUGGGGCUGUAGUAGGUCCCAAGGGUUGGGCUGUUCG